CCUACGGGAGGCAGCAGUGAGGAAUAUUGGUUAAUGGGCGCUAGCCUGAACCAGCCAAGUAGCGUGAAGGAUGACUGCCCUAUGGGUUGUAAACUUCUUUUAUAUGGGAAUAAAGUGCAGUAUGUAUACUGCUUUGCAUGUACCUUAUGAAUAAGGAUCGGCUAACUCCGUGCCAGCAGCCGCGGUAAUACGGAGGAUCCGAGCGUUAUCCGGAUUUAUUGGGUUUAAAGGGAGCGUAGGCGGGUUGUUAAGUCAGUUGUGAAAGUGUGCGGCUCAACCGUAAAAUUGCAGUUGAUACUGGCAUCCUUGAGUACAGUAGAGGUAGGCGGAAUUCGUGGUGUAGCGGUGAAAUGCUUAGAGAUCACGAAGAACUCCGAUUGCGAAGGCAGCCUGCUGGACUGUAACUGACGCUGAGGCUCGAAAGUGUGGGUAGCAAACAGGAUUAGAUACCCUAGUAGUC
This 460-nucleotide ribosomal RNA is filed under the name uncultured bacterium. RNAcentral's name for it is "partial 16S ribosomal RNA". It matches the Rfam family "Bacterial small subunit ribosomal RNA", at positions 338 to 795 of the family's 1533-position model. The record is from RNAcentral.